AAAGGAAUUGACGGGGACCCGCACAAGCGGUGGAGCAUGUGGUUUAAUUCGAAGCAACGCGAAGAACCUUACCAGGUCUUGACAUCCCGACGACCGGCUCGUAAUGGAGCCUUUUCUACGGAACGUUGGAGACAGGUGGUGCAUGGUUGUCGUCAGCUCGUGUCGUGAGAUGUUGGGUUAAGUCCCGCAACGAGCGCAACCCUUGUCCUUAGUAGCCAGCAGGUAAAGCUGGGCACUCUAGGGAGACUGCCAGGGAUAACCUGGAGGAAGGUGGGGAUGACGUCAAAUCAUCAUGCCCCUUAUGAUCUGGGCUACACACGUGCUACAAUGGUGAUAACAAAGGGAAGCGAAAGCGUGAGCUGGAGCAAAUCCCAAAAAAAUCAUCUCAGUUCGGAUUGUAGUCUGCAACUCGACUACAUGAAGCUGGAAUCGCUAGUAAUCGCAAAUCAGAAUGUUGCGGUGAAUACGUUCCCGGGUCUUGUACACACCGCCCGU
RNAcentral lists this ribosomal RNA (495 nucleotides) under uncultured bacterium. Its description in RNAcentral is "bacterial SSU rRNA". It matches the Rfam family "Bacterial small subunit ribosomal RNA", at positions 903 to 1397 of the family's 1533-position model. The record is from RNAcentral.